UACAGAGGGUGCGAGCGUUGUCCGGAAUCACUGGGCGUAAAGGGCGCGUAGGCGGCCUGGUAAGUACGGGGUGAAAUCUCACGGCUCAACCGUGAGGCUGCCUCGUAGACUGCCGGACUUGAGCAGAGCAGAGGCUAGCGGAAUUCCCGGUGUAGCGGUGAAAUGCGUAGAUAUCUGAAGGAACACCAGUGGCGAAAGCGGCUUCCUGGUCCAGUACCGACGUUCAGGCACGAAAGCGUGGGGAGCAAACAGG
Molecule: ribosomal RNA, 253 nt
Filed under: uncultured bacterium
Lineage: Bacteria
Description: partial 16S ribosomal RNA
Rfam family: Bacterial small subunit ribosomal RNA
Source: RNAcentral